Molecule: ribosomal RNA, 468 nt
Filed under: Triticum aestivum (bread wheat)
Lineage: Eukaryota; Viridiplantae; Streptophyta; Magnoliopsida; Poales; Poaceae
Description: partial small subunit ribosomal RNA
Source: RNAcentral
AUGGCUCCAUCCGAAGGAAGAGCGGGCAAUUACACCAACAAAGAUGACAUCUUACUAUGCUAUACUUGGUUGCAAGUGUCGAGGGAUCCAUCCGUUGGAGGUGAUCAAAGUAGAGAUGCUUAUUGGGGGCGGAUGAAAGAACACUUCGAUGCUCACAACGUGAGUGGAAUUGACCGCUCCGAGAGAUCACUUCGGUCCCGAUGGUCGACAAUCAACUCGGAUUGUCAAAAUUGGGCGGCUGCACAAAAGUCGGUUGACAAGUUGAACCCAAGUGGCACAAAUGAGGACGAUAGAGUAAGUGGCAUUUCAUACAUGUUCAUCAUACUUGUUUUUGGUGUCCGAAGUGCUAACUUGCUUUGUUUUCAUGUAGUACAACAUUGCACAAGACUUGUUCAAAGAAGAGGUGAGGACAACCAAGAAGGGGAAGAUCAAGAGAGGAAGGAUCUUUACAUUACCUCAUUGCUAUGA